ACUAUGUUGAAGGAACUAGGCAAAAUGCUUGUGUAACUUCGGGAUAAGCAAGCCCCAUUUUUAGGCAACUAAAGGUGGGGGGCACAUACUAGGGGGUAGCGACUGUUUACUAAAAACACAGGGCUCUGCUAAAUUGAAAGAUGAAGUAUAGGGUCUGACGCCUGCCCGGUGCUGGAAGGUUAAGGAGAGAUGUUCACGCAUUGAACUGAAGCCCCAGUAAACGGCGGCCGUAACUAUAACGGUCCUAAGGUAGCGAAAUUCCUUGUCGGGCAAGUUCCGACCUGCACGAAUGGCAUAAUGAUGGCCACACUGUCUCCUCCUGAGACUCAGUGAAGUUGAAAUGUUUGUGAUGAUGCAAUCUCCCCGCGGCUAGACGGAAAGACCCCAUGAACCUUUACUGCAGCUUUGCAUUGGACUUUGAACCGAUCUGUGUAGGAUAGGUGGGAGGCAGUGAAGCUAGGACGCCAGUCUUAGCGGAGCCAACCUUGAAAUACCACCCUGAUUUGUUUGAGGUUCUAACCUAGGAGCGUGAUCCGCUUCGGGGACCGUGCAUGGUAGGCAGUUUGACUGGGGCGGUCUCCUCCUAAAGGGUAACGGAGGAGUGCGAAGGUACGCUAGGUACGGUCGGAAAUCGUGCUGAUAGUGCAAUGGCAAAAGCGUGCUUGACUGCGAGACCGACAAGUCGAGCAGAUACGAAAGUAGGUCAUAGUGAUCCGGUGGCUCUGCAUGGAAGGGCCAUCGCUCAACGGAUAAAAGGUACUCUGGGGAUAACAGGCUGAUACCGCCCAAGAGUUCAUAUCGACGGCGGUGUUUGGCACCUCGAUGUCGGCUCAUCUCAUCCUGGGGCUGUAGCCGGUCCCAAGGGUAUGGCUGUUCGCCAUUUAAAGAGGUACGUGAGCUGGGUUUAAAACGUCGUGAGACAGUUUUGUCCCUAUCUGCCGUGGGCGUUGGAAGAUUGACGGGGGCUGCUCCUAGUACGAGAGGACCGGAGUGGACUCACCUCUGGUGUACCGGUUGUCACGCCAGUGGCAUCGCCGGGUAGCUAUGUGGGGAAAGGAUAACCGCUGAAAGCAUCUAAGCGGGAAACCUGCCUGAAGAUAAGUCUUCCUGGAGGCUAGACCUCCCUGAAGAGUCGUUCGAGACCAGGACGUUGAUAGGUUGGAUGUGCAAGCGCUGUGAGGCGUUGAGCUGACCAAUACUAAUUGCUCGUGAAGCUUGAUCCU
This 1223-nucleotide ribosomal RNA is filed under the name human metagenome. Its description in RNAcentral is "bacterial LSU rRNA". It matches the Rfam family "Bacterial large subunit ribosomal RNA", at positions 1698 to 2925 of the family's 2925-position model. The record is from RNAcentral.